AUUGCAAGUGAUGUUAAAGACAGGGACAUCGGACUUCUUUGAAAUAUGAUGAUUUGUCUUGGGAAUCUCUCUGAUGCAUG
This 80-nucleotide small nucleolar RNA is filed under the name Thalictrum thalictroides. RNAcentral's name for it is "Small nucleolar RNA R44/J54/Z268 family". It matches the Rfam family "Small nucleolar RNA R44/J54/Z268 family". From Rfam's summary of the family: R44, J54 and Z268 are members of the C/D class of snoRNA which contain the C (UGAUGA) and D (CUGA) box motifs. Lineage: Eukaryota; Viridiplantae; Streptophyta; Magnoliopsida; Ranunculales; Ranunculaceae. The record is from Rfam by way of RNAcentral.